AUGACUUUGAUCUGCGUCCUCAUCUGGACUCUCCUCUGCUGCUGCUUCACAGAGUCCAGAGGACAGAUCACAGUGACUCAGCCUGGAGCCGUGAGCUCUGCUGUGGGAGGAUCUGUGAACAUCAAGUGUAGGACCAGUCAGAACAUUCAUAGCAACCAUUUAUCCUGGUACCAACAGAAAGAUGGAAAACCUCCGAAACAGCUCAUUUACUACACUAGCACCCGAUUAUCAGGGAUUCCAGCUCAUUUUACAGGCAGUGGAUCAAACUCUGACUUCACUCUGACCAUCAGUGGAGUCCAGGCUGAAGAUGCAGCAGUUUAUUACUGCAAGAGUGUUCAUGUUAUCAACAGUCAGCUUCUGUUCACACAGUGA
Molecule: non-coding RNA, 372 nt
Organism: Archocentrus centrarchus (flier cichlid)
Lineage: Eukaryota; Metazoa; Chordata; Actinopteri; Cichliformes; Cichlidae
Source: the annotation of a RefSeq genome assembly